AUACGGAGGAUGCAAGCGUUAUCCGGAAUGAUUGGGCGUAAAGGGUCCGCAGGUGGCAUUGUAAGUCUGCUGUCAAAGAAUGAGGCUCAACCUCAUCAAGGCAGUGGAAACUACAAAGCUAGAGUACGGUCGGGGUAGAAGGAAUUCCUGGUGUAGCGGUGAAAUGCGUAGAGAUCAGGAAGAACACCGGUGGCGAAAGCGUUCUGCUAGGCCAGUACUGACACUGAGGGACGAAAGCUAGGGGAGCGAAUGG
This 253-nucleotide ribosomal RNA is filed under the name uncultured prokaryote. Its description in RNAcentral is "partial 16S ribosomal RNA". It matches the Rfam family "Bacterial small subunit ribosomal RNA", at positions 523 to 775 of the family's 1533-position model. The record is from RNAcentral.